CUGAAAACAGGUCACCUUUAGAAAGAGAUGAGAGCAUCUCAUGAAGGCUGCAGGGUUUCAGUGCAGCAGGGUCUUCUCUUCUGCCUUAGAGGCAAGUCUGAGUUCAGAUGACAUCAAUCACCAACAGAGACAGUGAUCAACAGAAGCCCCUCUGGGGCAGGUCAGAAGAGCUCUCCCUCUCCAUCCAGGAAUGAAACAGGAAUGGAAUAACUGGCCAUGCGGUCCAAGAGAGAGGCAGCCAUGCAGGUGGCUGCAGGAAGAAAGAGUGAAGGCUCCUGUGUGAGGCACGUGGAGCAGAUGGAGCCAUCUGAAUAGGUUUGAGAAGCCACUUCCUAUUCUCUGGCCAAGGAGAAUUAUGGAUUGCAAGAGAAUUAUGGAUUGCAAUGGGGAUACUUGAGCCAGAGCAUGAACAAACAUUAGGAGACAAACGAGCACUCAAAUGGAGCAGACAGUGAUCAUGGCGAAGAAUUAUCUUGAGAUUCACCGGGGUUUAUCAGAAAAAAAAUAAAUAGCAAAGGAGGAACCGGCACACUGAACCAGGACACGACACCACAACAAAAAGCUGGAAGUCGUCUUUCUGAUGUUUUAGUCUCUAACGUCAAGUGUGCAAGUCUAGAAAGUGUAUUUCUUGGUAUGAGUGAGUACGACGUAAUGGACCGCGUUCCUGCUCGUCUCCGCCCUCUACACGUGUGGGCUUCCGUGGUAAGCCCAACAUCCUCUUCAUUCAGGACCUGGCAGAAGAGUCUGAGAAACUACUUAUUACCAUGAGGACGUGGUUGAUGGCGAUUGACAACCCUGCCCACCUGCAUAAACCUUGCCCCUAUUAACACCAGGGGAAAAACCUGUGGGGAGGCCCAUUCUCACUCAUCGCAGCGCGUCUCCAAAGCUACUAGCGGACCACCCUCUAUUCCCUAACCCUUGGGGAAGACCGCCAGGAGCCCCAUCACCCCAUCCAACAGUGCCAGCUCUGUGCUUGUACGCCGCCUGUUUCUUCUACACUCAUCCUCUGGCUGGUGGAGGCAGCAAAUUCCUCCGCAUCUUUGUGAAUGAGACACCCAGGGGCUGAAUAUCAAGGAACAAAUGCAUUAAUCACGGCAGAGCCUGCGUGCCAAGGCGCAUAAAGACCACUGCUCCCAGCAGCGGCGAUAGCGUGAACCUUUCCACAGACCACACGCUCCGAAGUCGCUCUCUGAAGUCUUAUUACUGACAGCUAGUGGUCAAAGCUGACAUCUGUCAGAUGGCCGUGUCAUUUGGUGGUGAUCAUGAUUGUAGCAGGAAGAGGGAUUUUUCAUCAGAUUUUUUGACUUUAAAAUCUGGAUUACAUUGGAAACUCAACAUGCUUACAGGAGAUACUGCAAAACAUAGACUUUAAAUAAGGCCUGAGACCCUUGAUGCUGGGAAUCAUUUACCUAGAAGUCACCCACUGACGGGUUCCCAAGGCCGCUCAGCGAAAACAAAGGCAGGGCCGGAGAGCUUGCGUUAACCCCUCAACCUGCACAGUGGCAAAGCGCCUGUCAGCACUUUCUUGUAAUUCUACCACCCUCACUGCUUCAGACUCACGGGAAACAGUGAUUCAGCAACGUUGAAAAGACAGCGCAUUGGGGGUUUAAAUUGUGCUUUCUUCCUGAAAUAUUUCUUAUAUUUUCCCUCACCAGGACUGAAGUUCAAAUGACUGUGUGAGUUUAUGUGUGUUAGGUGAGCGUUUAAUUAUUCAAUUCAGGGCUGUCCUGUGCUUAUUGCUUUUUUUUUUUUUUAAGUAUAAUUAAAAUUUAGUUUGCAAAUCAUUUUUUCACGUUUUUACAAGUUUUAAAAACAUCAAAAUUAUGUUGGCCAGGCUCAAUAUUUCAACUUCAGUUAUAUUUAGCACUGAUGAACCUUAAGUUCAUUUUAAUUUAAAUACUUUAUUCAUAUGAGAUCUACUGAUGCAAAAUAUGCUUGUGGACUGCAGAUUUUUAAAGUUCCCAGAAUGUUUUGAAG
Molecule: long non-coding RNA, 1977 nt
Filed under: Equus asinus (donkey)
Lineage: Eukaryota; Metazoa; Chordata; Mammalia; Perissodactyla; Equidae
Description: lncRNA (ENSEASG00005024425.1)
Source: RNAcentral